This 461-nucleotide ribosomal RNA is filed under the name uncultured bacterium. Its description in RNAcentral is "bacterial SSU rRNA". It matches the Rfam family "Bacterial small subunit ribosomal RNA", at positions 29 to 524 of the family's 1533-position model. The record is from RNAcentral.
AACGAACGCUGGCGGCAUGCCUAACACAUGCAAGUCGAACGGGAUCCAGGCUUCGGCCUGGUGAGAGUGGCGGACGGGUGAGUAACACGUGGGAACCUGCCUUUUGGUUCGGGAUAACCGCGGGAAACUGCGGCUAAUACCGAAUGCUCCCGAGAGGGGAAAGAUUUAUCGCCAGAAGAGGGGCCCGCGUCCGAUUAGGUAGUUGGUGGGGUAAUGGCCUACCAAGCCGACGAUCGGUAGCUGGUCUGAGAGGAUGAUCAGCCACACUGGGACUGAGAUACGGCCCAGACUCCUACGGGAGGCAGCAGUGGGGAAUAUUGGACAAUGGGGGGCAACCCUGAUCCAGCAAUGCCGCGUGAGUGAUGAAGGCCUUAGGGUCGUAAAGCUCUUUUGCCAGGGAAGAUGAUGACUGUACCUGGAGAAUAAGCCCCGGCUAACUUCGUGCCAGCAGCCGCGGUAAU